AGAUUGAACGCUGGCGGCAUGCCUAACACAUGCAAGUCGAACGGGAGUAGCAAUACUCUAGUGGCGGACGGGUGAGGAAUACGUAGGAAUUUGCCCUUAAGUGGGGGAUAACCCGGGGAAACCCGGAUUAAUACCGCAUGACCUCGAAAGAGCAAAGUGGGGGAUCGCAAGACCUCACGCAUUUGGAGAAGCCUACGUCGGAUUAGCUAGUUGGUGAGGUAAUGGCUCACCAAGGCACGAUCCGUAACUGGUCUGAGAGGAUGAUCAGUCACACCGGAACUGAGACACGGUCCGGACUCCUACGGGAGGCAGCAGUGGGGAAUAUUGGACAAUGGGCGCAAGCCUGAUCCAGCAAUGCCGCGUGUGUGAAGAAGGCCUUGGGUUGUAAAGCACUUUAAGUAGGAAAGAAAAAACUACGACU
This 421-nucleotide ribosomal RNA is filed under the name uncultured soil bacterium. Its description in RNAcentral is "bacterial SSU rRNA". It matches the Rfam family "Bacterial small subunit ribosomal RNA", at positions 26 to 461 of the family's 1533-position model. The record is from RNAcentral.